CGGGAGCGGAGGGCGUGGUCAGCGUGCAGAGCGGGGGCGCGGGGCGGGGCUUCUGCAGAGCUAGGGUCUAAGGAAGAACUGCUAAGACCUGGAAGAGUUGUACUGCUUACUUCUCUCUGCUGAAUUCCAGUAGGCAGCGAUUCCAAAGACACCCCCGACCCAGUAGCAAUCGGAUCCUAGUGCCAGCCCACUCUGAAAUCAUCUCCGCUUUCCGUGUCUCAGCUGUGCUGGAUUGCAACUCCCAGGCGGUCCUGCGGCCGUGGCUGAUUUGGGUAGUUGCGUCUGUGGUCAGUCGCCUUGACAACCUGGUUGAGGUGAAGCAGGGUGUGGCGGCUGGAGGCGUCCUUCCGCAGCUGUGCCUCGGUACUGCGCCCUCUCCCUGCGUCCUCCAUUGCUUACUCCUUGUGAGCGGCGGUACUUUCCGGGUGUCCCCGGUGUGUCUCUCUGGGUGACAGCGGCACCAGCGGUGUCUGGGGACUCAGGCCUGCUCUGCGGGCGGCGCAGCUCCGAGCAGGAGAGGGGAAGUUACGGGAGGUUGAGGGGUGCUUUUCCCCGCAUCGGGUUAUGGCUGUCUGCUCUGCCUGGUCCUCUCAGCGCUUCCUAGGAAGUCUGCGGAUAAAGUCCUCAGGAAAGCGAGGUGGAGUCCGCUGGACUUCAAGUCAGGUGGCUUUUCCUGAAAGGCACAGCCUUUUCGGGAGUGGAAGCUGCCAUUCCAGUGUCAGUGGUUCCCUGUGCCACCUCCACUAUGCUGGCUCAUGCCAUCAUGACACCUAGAAGAGCUGUGCCAACCAGCAUGGAUUUGCCAUCUUCCCUGGACUAGAAGAUCUGAUUCCGGAGAUUUGAUGUAACACCAGGACAAUGUGGAGAAAGACGAGUUCCAAGUAUGAACAACAACAUCAUGUUAUAUCUUGAGAUCAUAAUACUAAGUGUGAUAGAGAAGACUAUUAUAGAUAACAAAAACCUAUAAAGUGUCACAGUGUAAAAUGGCUUCUGCUAUCUCUAACUUGUUUUGUUUAGCUCAGAACAGGCACCAAAGGCACUAAUUGCCAAAUGAGGCAUUUGGUCUUACCCUAAGAUAACAAGACCUUGAGCUCUGAAGAGACUGGAGCCACAUGAUCAUAAAAAGUGUCAAGAUGAAAAGGACCAUGGCUAACAUUUGCUACCCUGACCCUGAAAACCCCUUCCUAUGGGCUAGGAUAGAUAACUAGGCAAAUCUUAAAGGUAAACUUCCCUACUACAAGGAAUUAUUACAUCUGGGUUGAAAGUUAACUAUCCUGUGACUAUGAUGUGCACUAUGAGAAUGAAAUGUAACCACCCAAACCAAGUCAAGGCUGUGAAACUCUAUAAAAGGAGGAAUUGUAAGCCAGUGAGUUGUUGAUCUAGGCACUGCUUAUGAGUGUUUGACCCUCAUGGAGGAGUACAUUUAUUAUUUUACUUCCAUUCUGCUGCCUCUGUGUGUGUUGCUUACUGAUUCCUUCCUUAACAAGUGAAGUAAAUCAGACACACAAAUUUAUAUAGCACAUGGUUUCUGUUAUAUGAGAAACUAUAUACAAAGUGCAAAAUAAAAGACAAGAGGAAAAGGGCCAGGGUUUUAGCUCAGCGGUUCUGUUGCCUGCCUUGCAAGCACAAGCUCCCAAGUUUAAUCCCUGGUACCCCCCGCCCAAAUGAAAAACAAAAAAAGUUUGCAAACAAACAAAGACAAGAGGAAAAAGAAAAAAGUUAUUGUAAUUCAGUAUGGACAAUUUAUUUAAAAGUAAUACCUUGAUUUAGUAUAAUUAUCUUAUAUUUUUUAUGUUUUUUGGCCUGUUAGUCUGGCA
Molecule: long non-coding RNA, 1817 nt
Organism: Fukomys damarensis (Damara mole-rat)
Lineage: Eukaryota; Metazoa; Chordata; Mammalia; Rodentia; Bathyergidae
Source: Ensembl